GGUCGAUUAGCUUAGUCGGUAGAGCGUGGUACUAAUACAUCAGCAGCAGUCGUGUUCGCCAUGUGAGAUGCCAAGGUCAUGGGUUCGACCCCCAUAUUGACCA
This 103-nucleotide transfer RNA is filed under the name Puccinia triticina. RNAcentral describes it as "tRNA-Ile". It matches the Rfam family "tRNA". Rfam says of the family: Transfer RNA (tRNA) molecules are approximately 80 nucleotides in length. RNAcentral also lists the same sequence under 1 other name. Lineage: Eukaryota; Fungi; Basidiomycota; Pucciniomycetes; Pucciniales; Pucciniaceae. The record is from RNAcentral.